UACGAAGGGGGCUAGCGUUGUUCGGAAUUACUGGGCGUAAAGGGCAUGUAGGCGGCCCGAUAAAUUAGAAGUGAAAUGCCUGGGCUUAACCCGGGAACUGCUUUUAAGACUGUCGGGCUUGAAUCCGUGAGAGGACAGUGGAAUUCCCAGUGUAGAGGUGAAAUUCGUAGAUAUUGGGAGGAACACCAGUAGCGAAGGCGACUGUCUGGUGCGGUAUUGACGCUGAGAUGCGAAAGCGUGGGGAGCAAACAGG
This 253-nucleotide ribosomal RNA is filed under the name uncultured bacterium. Its description in RNAcentral is "partial 16S ribosomal RNA". It matches the Rfam family "Bacterial small subunit ribosomal RNA", at positions 524 to 776 of the family's 1533-position model. The record is from RNAcentral.